RNAcentral lists this ribosomal RNA (567 nucleotides) under uncultured bacterium. Its description in RNAcentral is "bacterial SSU rRNA". It matches the Rfam family "Bacterial small subunit ribosomal RNA", at positions 112 to 714 of the family's 1533-position model. The record is from RNAcentral.
AACGCGUGGGAAUAUACCCAGAUCUAAGGAAUAGCCACUGGAAACGGUGAGUAAUACCUUAUACGCCCUUCGGGGGAAAGAUUUAUCGGAUUUGGAUUAGCCCGCGUUAGAUUAGAUAGUUGGUGGGGUAAUGGCCUACCAAGUCUACGAUCUAUAGCUGGUUUUAGAGGAUGAUCAGCAACACUGGGACUGAGACACGGCCCAGACUCCUACGGGAGGCAGCAGUGGGGAAUCUUGGACAAUGGGCGCAAGCCUGAUCCAGCCAUGCCGCGUGAGUGAUGAAGGCCUUAGGGUCGUAAAGCUCUUUCGCCAGGGAUGAUAAUGACAGUACCUGGUAAAGAAACCCCGGCUAACUCCGUGCCAGCAGCCGCGGUAAUACGGAGGGGGUUAGCGUUGUUCGGAAUUACUGGGCGUAAAGCGCGCGUAGGCGGGUUGUUAAGUUAGAGGUGAAAUCCCGGGGCUCAACCCCGGAACUGCCUUUAAUACUGGCAACCUAGAGUUCGAGAGAGGUGAGUGGAAUUCCGAGUGUAGAGGUGAAAUUCGUAGAUAUUCGGAGGAACACCAGUG